RNAcentral lists this unclassified non-coding RNA (1687 nucleotides) under Hevea brasiliensis (rubber tree). Lineage: Eukaryota; Viridiplantae; Streptophyta; Magnoliopsida; Malpighiales; Euphorbiaceae. The record is from RNAcentral.
UUUUUUUUUUUUUUUUAAUUUUGCUUGGGUUAGGUCGAAAUUCGUAUACUUUUCCAAGGGCAAACACGUCUUUUUAGUCACUUCAACCAUCGUCUUCAUCUCAUAUCACCGCAUGCGGCAUCAGUCGCUCCCUCCAUCUCCCUGUCCUCCAUGGCCUCAGCUCUUCACUCAAAUCUCACCUUUUCCACUUUCCUCUAUCCAAAACCCAAUCUCAAAACCCUAACCAAACCUCCGAACACCACUAUAGCUACAACCAUACGCUGCGGCGGUCCUCGAUCCAACCGCGGUCCUCUCGUCAGAGGCCGUAUCUUAAGUACCGAAGCAAUCCUUGCUGUCCAAUCUCUCAAACGAGCCUAUAAAAAAUCAUCAUCAAACCUCACAGAUCUCCCUGAUCUCUCCCGCCUCAUUAAAUCAGACCUCCUUUCUAUACUCCGCGAGCUCCUCCGGCAAGACCUCUGUCCCCUCGCCAUCCACGUGCUCUCAACGCUCCGAUCUGAAUACUCUGGCCAGAUUGAUUUGGGCCUCUACGCAGACGUAAUCUCUGGUCUCUCUAGGAACAAAUUGUGCGAGCACAUUGACAAGUUAAUUGAGGAUUUGGAGAAAGAUGAGGGUGGGAUUCAGUGGGAGACAGAUAAGGGAUUGUUGAGGGUGAUAAGAGGCGUGGUGGAUGCGGGAAGAAGGGAAUCGGCGGUGAAGAUUUGUGAGAUUUUGAGGAGGAGUGGGUGUGGGGAAACGUGGCCGGCGGAUGAGUAUGUGGUUGGUGUUUUGAGUAAAGGGCUAAGGAGGAUGGGGGAGACGGAGUUGGCGAGUGAGGUUGACGAGAAAUUUGGUGGGAUUUUUAGGGGUGGUGCAUUUGCAUAAAAGGAAAUGAUUGAAAAAUGGUAGUUAUCCUCGCUUCAACACGAUUGGUGAGAGCUUGGGUUCAACAUAUCUUUCCUGAGAAGCUUAGUGCAAGUUUACUCAUUUGUAUUAUUUUGACUCUAAUGGUUGUGCUUUCACUUACCACUUGCUUAGAUUUUUGGUUGCAAAGUUUUCUGUUACAUGCAUUAUCCUAUUAUCAGUUUAUAUAUGAUUUCUAUUAUGUACAGCAAUGAUGCCUCAAUUGCCAGGAGGUUAGAGUUUUGCAGUUUUCUAUGUGUGGUUAGACAAUAAGGUUUAUCAGAAUUUGGGAGAUGAUUGUUGUUAAUUUUUUAGAUGGACUUGGAUUAUUUGGGUCUAGAUUGAGCUAUUACUCGAGUUGGCUAACUACAUCAAAUGAUUGUGUUAAAAAGGAUAACUUUUCACCUUCAAGUUCAUUUCAGUUCUCCCAUUUGCCUUCACCGGGAUUGAUGUUCAUUGAGCUUUAGCCUUUGCUUUAUUUGUGGAGAAUUUAGGCAAACAUUUUCAAAUUAAGGAGGAUAAAGUUUUCCUGGGUCUGUUCACUAAAGUUCAUUGUAACAAUAGAAAAAUGAAGAGAACAAUAACCCUCUGUAUAAGAAAAGAUCAAGGGAAAAAAAAUUUUCAAUCUGGAAUUGUUUUCUGUUGUAUCAACUAUAGCUUACAUUGAUCUUGUAGAUUUUCUUUUAUUAGGGAGCUUCACAUCUCAGUUUUUCUAUUUUAUACAGUUUCUAAAGGAUUCUUUUCAUGCAGCAGUGGUUGGUUAUCACAGUGCAAAAUCAUCUACUAUACAUUCUUUAGUUGGAUGUAU